Molecule: ribosomal RNA, 1508 nt
Filed under: Lacticaseibacillus paracasei
Lineage: Bacteria; Bacillati; Bacillota; Bacilli; Lactobacillales; Lactobacillaceae
Description: bacterial SSU rRNA
Rfam family: Bacterial small subunit ribosomal RNA
Source: RNAcentral
GGAUGAACGCUGGCGGCGUGCCUAAUACAUGCAAGUCGAACGAGUUCUCGUUGAUGAUCGGUGCUUGCACCGAGAUUCAACAUGGAACGAGUGGCGGACGGGUGAGUAACACGUGGGUAACCUGCCCUUAAGUGGGGGAUAACAUUUGGAAACAGAUGCUAAUACCGCAUAGAUCCAAGAACCGCAUGGUUCUUGGCUGAAAGAUGGCGUAAGCUAUCGCUUUUGGAUGGACCCGCGGCGUAUUAGCUAGUUGGUGAGGUAAUGGCUCACCAAGGCGAUGAUACGUAGCCGAACUGAGAGGUUGAUCGGCCACAUUGGGACUGAGACACGGCCCAAACUCCUACGGGAGGCAGCAGUAGGGAAUCUUCCACAAUGGACGCAAGUCUGAUGGAGCAACGCCGCGUGAGUGAAGAAGGCUUUCGGGUCGUAAAACUCUGUUGUUGGAGAAGAAUGGUCGGCAGAGUAACUGUUGUCGGCGUGACGGUAUCCAACCAGAAAGCCACGGCUAACUACGUGCCAGCAGCCGCGGUAAUACGUAGGUGGCAAGCGUUAUCCGGAUUUAUUGGGCGUAAAGCGAGCGCAGGCGGUUUUUUAAGUCUGAUGUGAAAGCCCUCGGCUUAACCGAGGAAGCGCAUCGGAAACUGGGAAACUUGAGUGCAGAAGAGGACAGUGGAACUGCAUGUGUAGCGGUGAAAUGCGUAGAUAUAUGGAAGAACACCAGUGGCGAAGGCGGCUGUCUGGUCUGUAACUGACGCUGAGGCUCGAAAGCAUGGGUAGCGAACAGGAUUAGAUACCCUGGUAGUCCAUGCCGUAAACGAUGAAUGCUAGGUGUUGGAGGGUUUCCGCCCUUCAGUGCCGCAGCUAACGCAUUAAGCAUUCCGCCUGGGGAGUACGACCGCAAGGUUGAAACUCAAAGGAAUUGACGGGGGCCCGCACAAGCGGUGGAGCAUGUGGUUUAAUUCGAAGCAACGCGAAGAACCUUACCAGGUCUUGACAUCUUUUGAUCACCUGAGAGAUCAGGUUUCCCCUUCGGGGGCAAAAUGACAGGUGGUGCAUGGUUGUCGUCAGCUCGUGUCGUGAGAUGUUGGGUUAAGUCCCGCAACGAGCGCAACCCUUAUGACUAGUUGCCAGCAUUUAGUUGGGCACUCUAGUAAGACUGCCGGUGACAAACCGGAGGAAGGUGGGGAUGACGUCAAAUCAUCAUGCCCCUUAUGACCUGGGCUACACACGUGCUACAAUGGAUGGUACAACGAGUUGCGAGACCGCGAGGUCAAGCUAAUCUCUUAAAGCCAUUCUCAGUUCGGACUGUAGGCUGCAACUCGCCUACACGAAGUCGGAAUCGCUAGUAAUCGCGGAUCAGCACGCCGCGGUGAAUACGUUCCCGGGCCUUGUACACACCGCCCGUCACACCAUGAGAGUUUGUAACACCCGAAGCCGGUGGCGUAACCCUUUUAGGGAGCGAGCCGUCUAAGGUGGGACAAAUGAUUAGGGUGAAGUCGUAACAAGGU